Molecule: ribosomal RNA, 809 nt
Filed under: Trichophyton tonsurans
Lineage: Eukaryota; Fungi; Ascomycota; Eurotiomycetes; Onygenales; Arthrodermataceae
Description: eukaryotic LSU rRNA
Rfam family: Eukaryotic large subunit ribosomal RNA
Source: RNAcentral
AACGGCGAGUGAAGCGGCAAGAGCUCAAAUUUGAAAUCUGGCCUCCCCCGGGGCCCGAGUUGUAAUUUGCAGAGGAUGUUUCGGGUGCGGCCGCCGUCUAAGUUCCUUGGAACAGGACGUCAGAGAGGGUGAGAAUCCCGUCUUGGGCGGGCGGUCCGCGCCCGUGUGAAGCUCCUUCGACGAGUCGAGUUGUUUGGGAAUGCAGCUCUAAGCGGGUGGUAAAUUUCAUCUAAAGCUAAAUAUUGGCCGGAGACCGAUAGCGCACAAGUAGAGUGAUCGAAAGGUUAAAAGCACCUUGAAAAGGGAGUUAAACAGCACGUGAAAUUGUUGAAAGGGAAGCGCUUGCGGCCAGACUCGGGGGCGGGGUUCAGCGGGUGCUCGUCGCCCGUGUAUUCCUCGUUUCCCGGGCCAGCAUCAGUUUCGACGGCCGGUCAAAGGCCCCCGGAAUGUGUCGUCUCUCGGGACGUCUUAUAGCCGGGGGUGCAAUGCGGCCCGUCGGGACUGAGGAACGCGCUCCGGCUCGGAUGCUGGCGUAAUGGCCGUAAGCGGCCCGUCUUGAAACACGGACCAAGGAGUCUAACAUCCACGCGAGUGUUCGGGUGUCAAACCCGUGCGCGCAGUGAAAGCGAACGGAGGUGGGAGCCCUAGGGCGCACCAUCGACCGAUCCUGAAGUCUUCGGAUGGAUUUGAGUAGGAGCGUGGCCGUUGGGACCCGAAAGAUGGUGAACUAUGCCUGAAUAGGGUGAAGCCAGAGGAAACUCUGGUGGAGGCUCGCAGCGGUUCUGACGUGCAAAUCGAUCGUCAAAUUU